CCUACGGGUGGCAGCAGUGGGGAAUAUUGGGCAAUGGGCGCAAGCCUGACCCAGCAACGCCGCGUGAAGGAAGAAGGCUUUCGGGUUGUAAACUUCUUUUCUCAGGGACGAAGCAAGUGACAGUACCUGAGGAAUAAGCCACGGCUAACUACGUGCCAGCAGCCGCGGUAAUACGUAGGUGGCAAGCGUUAUCCGGAUUUAUUGGGUUUAAAGGGCGUGUAGGCGGGACGGCAAGUCAGUUGUGAAAACCACGGGCUCAACCUGUGGCCUGCAUUUGAAACUGUAGUUCUUGAGUACUGGAGAGGCAGACGGAAUUCGUGGUGUAGCGGUGAAAUGCGUAGAUAUUAGGAGGAACACCGGUGGCGAAGGCGGUCUGCUGGACAGCAACUGACGCUGAGGCGCGAAAGUGUGGGGAGCAAACAGGAUUAGAUACCCGAGUAGUC
RNAcentral lists this ribosomal RNA (443 nucleotides) under uncultured bacterium. RNAcentral describes it as "partial 16S ribosomal RNA". It matches the Rfam family "Bacterial small subunit ribosomal RNA", at positions 338 to 795 of the family's 1533-position model. The record is from RNAcentral.